GCUAUACAUGCAGUCGAACGAAGUAGCAAUACUUAGUGGCAGACGGGUGAGUAACAUGUGGGUAUCUUCCCUUUGGUGAGGAAUAACACGAGGAAACUUGUGCUAAUACCUCAUAAGUCUUUACAGAGAAAGCUUUAUGCGCCAUUGGAUGAGCCUGCACUUGAUUAGUUUGUUGGUGGGGUAAUGGCCUACCAAGACAAUGAUCAAUAGCUGAUUUGAGAGGAUGAUCAGCCACAUUGGGACUGAGACACGGCCCAAACUCCUACGGGAGGCAGCAGUAGGGAAUCUUGCACAAUGGAGGAAACUCUGAUGCAGCGAUGCCGCGUGAGUGAAGAAGGCCUUUGGGUUGUAAAGCUCUUUCGUCGGGGAAGAAAAUGACUGUACCCGAAUAAGAAGGUCCGGCUAACUUCGUGCCAGCAGCCGCGGUAAUACGAAGGGACCUAGCGUAGUUCGGAAUUACUGGGCUUAAAGAGUUCGUAGGUGGUUAAAAAAGUUGAUGGUGAAAUCCCAGAGCUUAACUCUGGAACUGCCAUCAAAACUUUUUAGCUAGAGUAUGAUAGAGGAAAGCAGAAUUUCUAGUGUAGAGGUGAAAUUCGUAGAUAUUAGAAAGAAUACCAAUUGCGAAGGCAGCUUUCUGGAUCAUUACUGACGCUGAGGAACGAAAGCAUGGGUAGCGAAGAGGAUUAGAUACCCUCGUAGUCCAUGCCGUAAACGAUGUGUGUUAGACGUUGGAAAUUUAUUUUCAGUGUCACAGUGAAAACAAUAAACACACCGCCUGGGGAGUACGACCGCAAGGUUAAAACUCAAAUGAAUUGACGGGGACCCGCACAAGUAGUGGAGCAUGUGGUUUAAUUCGAAGAUACGCGCAGAACCUUACCAACACUUGACAUGUUCGUCGCGACUCUAGAGAUUAGAGUUUUCGGUUCGGCCGGACGAAACACAGGUGGCUGCAUGGCUGUCGUCAGCUCGUGUCGUGAGAUGUUGGGUUAAGUC
This 993-nucleotide ribosomal RNA is filed under the name uncultured bacterium. RNAcentral describes it as "bacterial SSU rRNA". It matches the Rfam family "Bacterial small subunit ribosomal RNA", at positions 48 to 1086 of the family's 1533-position model. The record is from RNAcentral.